This 71-nucleotide transfer RNA is filed under the name Mus musculus (house mouse). RNAcentral's name for it is "tRNA-Asn". The record is from RNAcentral. Lineage: Eukaryota; Metazoa; Chordata; Mammalia; Rodentia; Muridae.
GGAGAGAUGGCUCAGUGGUUAAGAGCACUGACUGUUCUUUCAGAGGUCCUGAGUUCAAUUCCCAGCAACCA